Molecule: long non-coding RNA, 366 nt
Filed under: Vitis vinifera (wine grape)
Lineage: Eukaryota; Viridiplantae; Streptophyta; Magnoliopsida; Vitales; Vitaceae
Description: long non-coding RNA (VVIN_LNC006168)
Source: RNAcentral
CUAACUUAUAUCACUUUGUGAGCAAAUAGAAUCUCACAAAGAGAGAGAGAGAGAGAGAGAGACGAUAAUCAACCAUCUGAAAUCAUACGAGGGUUGACUUCAUUUCACAUACUAUAUCACUUUGUGAGCAAAUAGAAUCUCACAAAGAGAGAGAGAGAGAGAGAGAGAGAGACGAUAAUCAACCAUCUGAAAUCAUACGAGGGUUGACUUCAUUUCACAUACUACUUUUACCGCCAUCUUCCUCACUAACUAACUUAUUGAUCUGGUGCAGCAAUAUAUCGAAGUCAUCUUGGGUCUUGAUGAGGCUGAGCCGAACAUAGCUACUGUUAGCACCAAACAAAGUACCAUUACGCCCAAUGAUGCCAG